RNAcentral lists this ribosomal RNA (262 nucleotides) under uncultured bacterium. RNAcentral's name for it is "partial 16S ribosomal RNA". It matches the Rfam family "Bacterial small subunit ribosomal RNA", at positions 334 to 610 of the family's 1533-position model. The record is from RNAcentral.
UAGUCCUACGGGGGGCAGCAGUGGGGAAUAUUGCACAAUGGGCGAAAGCCUGAUGCAGCAACGCCGCGUGAAGGAAGAAGGGUUUCGGCUCGUAAACUUCUAUCAACAGGGACGAAAGAAAUGACGGUACCUGAAUAAGAAGCCCCGGCUAACCACGUGCCAGCAGCCGGGGUAAUACGUAGGGGGCAAGCGUUAUCCGGAAUUACUGGGGGGAAAGGGGGGGGAGGCGGCAUGGUAAGGCGGAAGGGGAAGCCAUGGGCUU